Molecule: long non-coding RNA, 207 nt
Filed under: Solanum tuberosum (potato)
Lineage: Eukaryota; Viridiplantae; Streptophyta; Magnoliopsida; Solanales; Solanaceae
Description: long non-coding RNA (STUB_LNC009897)
Source: RNAcentral
CCUGGCUUUCUUAACUCAGCGGAAACUUAACUCAACAGAAUAACUCAAUGCCAUGCAAAGACAUAAACAACUUAGAUGAUACAUAUCUGGCCAAAAAGGCAACUCGAGUCUCAAAAUAGAAUAUUUACAUAUAUACAUAGAUAAGAGACUCAAUACUAACUGACUAUCUGUCUAUGAAGCCUCUAACAUACUGCGAUGGAUGUUGGG